CUGUAGACUAACAAUAGACAGAACAGGCAUACAAGGAUUAAUAUGAAAUUUACAAUAGUGGAACUUAUGAUGAUUUUAACCCAACUGACUGGGUUAAGAUUUGCGAGGCCAUCAGCAGUGUUCACGAUUGCCUCAGUUCCUGGCACUACAUUUAAAUGGACUUUUGAUGCCUCAAAAAUGUGUUCUUUUAAUUUUGAAAAGUCUAAAGUAAGAUUAUCUUCUCUUCCUUGUAGGUGGUGUCUAACCAUGUCCCGGUAAUGCUCAGACUCAUUAUAGGCUUGGGGUGUAAUACAAAAAUCUGACGUAUUCCAGUCACACUGUAACUGAAAAUGAUGUUCCAAGCCCAUGAGCCUAUCUCUCAUCCAAAUGACAGUUUGUCUAAGAUCAUUAAUUUGGUUUGCCAAUUUUUGAUCUAUUUGGGUCUGAGAUUUUCACAAUUUUGAGAAAUUCUUUGGCCAAUCAUGGACAUAUUUUGCAGUUUGAACAGAGGAUUGUAAAACAAUUCCAGUAGCCGCAGCAGUAGCUGUGACUGCAAUAAGGCCCAUAAUCACUGCAAUCAAAGUAAAAAUGAAUCUUUUGGAUCUAGUUAGAAUUCCUUUUAAUACUUCCAUUAAAAUAUGGAUGAAUGGCGAGGCCUCCCACGGUUGGUCCAUGGACACGGGGAUCCACACACCCUCUCUUAAUCUCACUAGUAGAAUAUGGUGCUGCAAUUAAAAGUGGAAUCAAUGCAAGGAAAAAAUCUACAAUUUUCACAGGUUAUAGUUUGGGAAUCUGGUUGAUAACUAUGUUUCCUACAACUAGCAUAUAAAGGGGGUUUUACACAACUUUGCAAAGAAAUUGUCAGACUGGAAUUUAGGUUGAUAGUAUAAUAUGGCUUAUAAUCUCUUGUUCCUGUGGCUUGAUUUCCAGACCAAAUUCUAAUGUGGUGCAAGGCCACAGUAAACUUCCAUAAUUCUGGAUGUUCAGGACCAGUCACAGGACUAACUUUGGUUGAGGUGAUGAAAUUCCCUUUUCACCCCAUUUCCAUGGAUAGGGUGAUUCAAACCUUCUAUAAAUCUGGUCCAGUGUUUCAGUUAAAUCACUAUCAUAGGCCGGAUUAAUGGGCAAGAUAGAUGGGGCCUGUGAAUAUGAGUGAGUCUGGCCCGUACAAUUAUGAUAUAAUUGGCCUCGAGGGGCCAUCAGUAAACACCAUCAGAACAUUUUCUAAAGGUUUACAUUUGGCAAUUUUAGGUAAAAUCCAAGUAGUCAAUUUUAAAAACUGGAAGAUUUUUGUUUUUGGGUAUUGAUUGUCAAAAAUUCCCACAAAAUCAGUAAGACCAAUCUGCCAAGCACCAGAAUUGAUAAAGGCUUGUCUAACCUGUUCCUUGUUUAAAGGAACGAUGAUUUUGUCUGGGUCACUUCCACACAAUUUUAUUAUUUGUAGUUUUGCCUGACCAAUUAAUGUAGCCAUUUGAUCCAAGCACAAUGUAAAAGUCUUAAUUGUACUGUGAGGAAGGAACCACCACUCCACAGGAUCAGUAUUUUGAACAACGAUGCCUGUUGGAGAAUGUGCAGUAGCAAAAAUCAAAAGUUGGAGUGGGGCCAAGGGAUUUACUUGUGCUGAUUGAAUUUUUUCUUUAAUUUAAUUUCUUUAGUUGCCUCUGGAGUUAAUGUUCUUUUACUGUUUAAUUCCGGGUCCUCUCUUAAGAUAGAGAACAAAUUUGACAUGGCAUAAGUAGGGAUGCCUAGAGUUGGCCGAAUCCAGUUAAUAUCUCCUAGCAACUUUUGAAGUCAUUUAAUGUUUUUAAUGUGUCUUUUCUUAUUUAUAUUUUUGGUGGUUUAAUUUUCUUUUCCUCUACCUGCAUUCCCAAGUAAUGGAAAGGAGUAGAGGCUUGAAUCUUAUCAGAUGCUAUUGUCCGUUCUGCGUUGGCAACCUCUGUCUGCAGAAAUGUGUAAUAGUUAAUUAAUUUGUCUCUUGUUUCUGCAGCACACAAAAUAUCAUCAACAUAAUGAAUGAUACAACAGUCUGAAAACUUAUCUCUAACUGGCUGAAGAGCUUGAGCUACAAAAGUCUGACAAAUAGUUGGACUAUUAAGCAUUCCCUGAGCCCGCGUGCAGGAGGAGAUCGACCUCGCAGUGGGAGGCGCGCGACUGCCAGCGGCGCUGGAGGACCGCAGUACUAUGCCUUACACAGA
Molecule: RNA transcript, 2174 nt
Organism: Cercocebus atys (sooty mangabey)
Lineage: Eukaryota; Metazoa; Chordata; Mammalia; Primates; Cercopithecidae
Gene name: cytochrome P450 2F5-like
Exons: 2
Source: RefSeq, a predicted model, not a curated record